This 1087-nucleotide long non-coding RNA is filed under the name Bos mutus (wild yak). RNAcentral's name for it is "lncRNA (ENSBMUG00000025417.1)". The record is from RNAcentral. Lineage: Eukaryota; Metazoa; Chordata; Mammalia; Artiodactyla; Bovidae.
UCCUUUCUUUUGCAUUAGUUUUGAUUUUUAAAGAAACUGUGUUAGAAUUUACCUUGAUUACAGAGUUUUUGGGCUUCCUCUUGCAUUCAGUGCCCAACUCACUUCACCUCAAUAUUGGCCCUGUGUGUCUCAACACCUUACCCUGUAGGGUACCUACUUCUCUGCAAGUCUCUCUUCUAAAGCAAAUGAAAGUAGAGACCACAUCAACUCAUCCCAGGCUAGUUACAGCAUCUUGCAGAGUAGAUGUUCAACAAAUUAGUGCUGGAUAGGAGGGCGCACAAAAGGUCUGCUCCAAGUCCUCAAACACGGGCCUUCACACCCUGUCCCCACGCCGGCAGCGGCCACCUGCUUGGUCCUUUGGGAGGACCCUGGGGACCACGGCGAGAACUGGAGGACCAAGCAACUGAGCCAGACCUCCCAAGCGGAAUCGGAAGUCUCCGCGUUUGACGUCACGGAGACCCCGGUUACCGGAAGUCAGUGGCGCAAACUCCGCAGGGUGUGAGGGGUCCACAGGCCUCGCAUGAGGUCAUUCAGGAAGCACCCUCCGAAUGGCUGCCGUUAAGCUAGGGUAGCAAGGCCGCAGGACGGGCCGCCUUUUCCCCGCCCACCUGGGUCUGCGCACACUUCCGCUUAAAUGACCCUCUUAGGGGCCGCCUCCGCGACUUCCCGGUAUGCCCCGCGCCUGCUUCCUGGCAACGGCGCCCAGCAGCCGCGCCCGACUUCCUGGUACGGCCCGCGCUGUCUCCUUGGCAACGGCCCCCGCAGUCUGGGUCUCUAGCUCGCCCGGCUUGGCAAUCGAGUUGUGAGGCGGCGCCUCCGGACUCCGGGUUACUGGAGGGACCCUGGGAGUGCGCGACGCACCCUCGCCCUCCACCCGGAAAGCUUCAUUUGGCCAGAAAGCAUCACUUUUAUGGGAUCAGAAGCAAACAAAGAUACAUUGAGAGUCCUGUUCUCCAGUUGUUUUUUCAUCAGAUUUCACUGAUAUUUUCUGUGAUCUUGAUAAUCCCACGUUAUAUCGGGAUUUCCAGGUAUGGGCCCCAGCUCUGAAGUUCCAGUCCAUUGUGUUUUAGUACUGUCGUGAUCACCU